CACUGUGGUUUUGAUUUGCAUUUCUCUAAUAAUCAAUAAUGUUGAGCAUCUUUUCAUGUGCCUAUUGGCCAAAAGAUAGCUAUUAUUAUUAUGAAAUUAGUGUUUCCAUGUAAAAGUUCUUCUUCAGUAAAAAUACACACUAAUUUUGAUCACAUCUCCUUCACAGAAAGAUAAAUUUCUUAGAUAAAGUAAUCAAUUAGAAGGAAAUAUUUCAAAUGUAUAAAAUUUGGUUAUGUAACAAUAUAAAAACGUACCAAAUUUUCGGCUAAAGAGGUCAUUGACUUGUUCUCUUAGUUGUUUUAUUUUUUCAAUGCUUGAUAAUCUUUCCUUCUCAUUAUCUAAAAAAAUUAAAAAAACAAGCAAGCCAGGUUUAUUCAUGUAUUUGCUCCCCUGAAAAGCUGUUGGAGGAAACACCUGUUAGCACAUGUGAAAGCACUUUACCUGGCUUAUCAUUCAGUUUAGUUUUAGCAAUAAUUAAGCAUUUUGGAAAUUUGUAAAUUUAAGGCAUUAUAGAUGACAGAGAAUUUUCCAAAUUAUGACUAUGUAAAUAUAAGACAUACUACUUUAGAGAACAUUUUCAAUAUCAUGCAAGAUAAGGAUGUCCACUUUCACCCCUACUCUUCAACAUUAUAAUAGAGAUCCUAGCCAGUGCAAUACAGCAAGUAAAAUGAAUAAGAUGUAUGUACUAAGAUUAGGGGGGAAAAUUUUUUAAUACUUGAAAUUUUUAUUCUAUUUAAUUUUGAAUAACGAAAAGUGAUUAUGUGGUUCAAAAUUCAGGUGAUAUAAAACAGUACAUCAUGAAAUGUCUCCCUUCCAUCCCUAUCUUAGCUCUCAAGUUUCCUUCUUUGGAGGAAUCUAUGCUAUUAGAUUCUUUUGUAUCUCUCCAGAUAUGUUUUAUAUACACCUAUUCAGAAAAGAAGAUUAAUUGAUGGGCAGCAAAUACAUUUCACCUCUGUGGCCAGUUCCAAUCCAAUGGUAGCCAGUGCUUGGAGUUGGCUGCCCUAAGGGGUAUUUUCCAGGGAUCGAACGCAGGGCCUCGCCAGUGAGACCACCGAGUCCCAACCACUGGACCGCCAGGGAAUUUCCACAAUAAUAAUUUUUAAAAAGGAAAUGAGUGCUAAGAUGACCAGUAUCAAUUUACCAAGAGGACAAGGGCUCUCAGGGGAGCUGGAAGAUGGAGAAAGAAUCUGAACACCGUACGGCAGUCACAGCGACAUGAUGGUACCAUAUCGUCAAACUGACAUCACGCUGGGGUCCAGCGGGAUUUUGGUCUUUGGGUAGAGAACCAAGCCACCUAACUGCACACAGCACCCACCUGUGCCAUGUUUGGAAAGUUUGUGUAUUUGGUAACAAUUGUCUUCUCCCCGUUGAACUUGUAUGCUGUCAAUGAAACAACUAUUAAGAAAAGGCACUUGAUGGACUUCCCUGGUGGCUCAGUGGUUAUGAAUCCGCCUCCAGUGCAGGGAACACGGGUUUGAGCCCUGGUCUGGGAAGAUCCCACAUGCCGCGGAGC
Non-coding RNA from Delphinapterus leucas (beluga whale), 1513 nucleotides. Lineage: Eukaryota; Metazoa; Chordata; Mammalia; Artiodactyla; Monodontidae. The record is from RefSeq and is a predicted model, not a curated record.